This 719-nucleotide ribosomal RNA is filed under the name Pseudomonas sp. RNAcentral's name for it is "bacterial SSU rRNA". It matches the Rfam family "Bacterial small subunit ribosomal RNA", at positions 38 to 744 of the family's 1533-position model. The record is from RNAcentral. Lineage: Bacteria; Pseudomonadati; Pseudomonadota; Gammaproteobacteria; Pseudomonadales; Pseudomonadaceae.
AAUAGCAUGGCGCAGCUACACAUGCAAGUCGAGCGGCAGCACGGGUACUUGUACCUGGUGGCGAGCGGCGGACGGGUGAGUAAUACCUAGGAAUCUGCCUGGUAGUGGGGGAUAACGUUCGGAAACGGACGCUAAUACCGCAUACGUCCUACGGGAGAAAGCAGGGGACCUUCGGGCCUUGCGCUAUCAGAUGAGCCUAGGUCGGAUUAGCUUGUUGGUGAGGUAAUGGCUCACCAAGGCUACGAUCCGUAACUGGUCUGAGAGGAUGAUCAGUCACACUGGAACUGAGACACGGUCCAGACUCCUACGGGAGGCAGCAGUGGGGAAUAUUGGACAAUGGGCGAAAGCCUGAUCCAGCCAUGCCGCGUGUGUGAAGAAGGUCUUCGGAUUGUAAAGCACUUUAAGUUGGGAGGAAGGGCAGUUACCUAAUACGUAAUUGUUUUGACGUUACCGACAGAAUAAGCACCGGCUAACUCUGUGCCAGCAGCCGCGGUAAUACAGAGGGUGCAAGCGUUAAUCGGAAUUACUGGGCGUAAAGCGCGCGUAGGUGGUUCGUUAAGUUGGAUGUGAAAUCCCCGGGCUCAACCUGGGAACUGCAUUCAAAACUGACGGGCUAGAGUAUGGUAGAGGGUGGUGGAAUUUCCUGUGUAGCGGUGAAAAUGCGUAGAUAUAGGAAGGAACACGAAUGGCGAGGGGGACCACCCGGACUGGUUACUGAC